This 987-nucleotide long non-coding RNA is filed under the name Salvia miltiorrhiza (redroot sage). RNAcentral describes it as "long non-coding RNA (SMIL_LNC008317)". Lineage: Eukaryota; Viridiplantae; Streptophyta; Magnoliopsida; Lamiales; Lamiaceae. The record is from RNAcentral.
AAGCUUCGAUCUGUGUGUUGCGGACGAAGAAUUUAUUAUUCCGAGUGAGGUAUAAAUCUCGCAGGUACUGUCUUCAGCAUAAUUCUUUCAAUAAUUUAUUAACUUAGCCACAUCUCCUGUUUUUAAUAGGUGCCAGUUUCCUUUGAAACGCCUCCCUCGUCGAGCAAGCAAGGUGUUGUACAGGUAUAUUUUGAACUAAUAUUAUUAUAUAUUCUUUGUUGUGAGUUGUAUGUUUAUAAUUUAUAUGUAGUUACAAUCGAUCUAGUUGCUUCGUCUGGAAUAUAUUUAAAUAUAUCAGGGAAAUACAAUUUUGAAUUUAAAAUUAUGUCGAGUGUGAAUCAGGUGAGCUACAAUGGUGCUAAGAUAGCAAACAAAGAGAACCAAGAGUGUUGUACACCAUCUAAAACGGUAGGAUCACAAUUAAAUUUUAUACUCAUUUUUUAUAUCAAUAUAAAGCUUUGCAUUUUAAUCAUAAUGUGUGAUUUAUAAAAGCAGCAGGAUAUGGAAAUAGGCUGCGUUCAGCCCUUUGUCCGUUGGACGAGAAUUCAUCUGAACUACCAUCCAAUGUACGUUUAAAUAUAAAAGCUAUAAUUAAAUUCAUAUAAUCAAGUUAAAUAUGAAGUGAUUUAUGUUUUCAUCUCAUUGGAACACGUGUUUUUUUUAAUGAAUAUGAAAGGUCAUAGGAGGAGAAUCACCAAUCUAUGGUUGUGUGAGGAAGGACUUUCCUGUUAGGAAAUUGCAUUACAGAGCAAACAAUAUCGAUAAUGUUGUAUGUUGUAGGACACCACUAAGCAUUAGAGAGAAAGCCAUUGCCAUGUAUUGUCUAUACAGUGAUUUUCUUGCGGAGUACGUGCUUUCACAAUUCAAGUUAUAUUAAGGACAAAUUUGCAGUUGUAUGUUAUAUAUCUAACUUGUUUGUUUAACCUAUUAUUCAGAGGGAAGGUUAUUUUCAUGUUCAAGGACAUAGAGUUAUGUAGAUUCGAUCUA